AGCGCAUCUGCUUCACGCCGU
This 21-nucleotide non-coding RNA is filed under the name Arabidopsis thaliana (thale cress). Lineage: Eukaryota; Viridiplantae; Streptophyta; Magnoliopsida; Brassicales; Brassicaceae. The record is from RNAcentral.